Molecule: ribosomal RNA, 490 nt
Filed under: uncultured bacterium
Lineage: Bacteria
Description: partial 16S ribosomal RNA
Rfam family: Bacterial small subunit ribosomal RNA
Source: RNAcentral
AUUGAACGCUGGCGGCAGGCCUAACACAUGCAAGUCGAACGGUAACAGAAAGCAGCUUGCUGCUUUGCUGACGAGUGGCGGACGGGUGAGUAAUGUCUGGGAAACUGCCUGAUGGAGGGGGAUAACUACUGGAAACGGUAGCUAAUACCGCAUAACGUCGCAAGACCAAAGAGGGGGACCUUCGGGCCUCCUGCCAUCGGAUGUGCCCAGAUGGGAUUAGCUAGUAGGUGGGGUAAAGGCUCACCUAGGCGACGAUCCCUAGCUGGUCUGAGAGGAUGACCAGCCACACUGGAACUGAGACACGGUCCAGACUCCUACGGGAGGCAGCAGUGGGGAAUAUUGCACAAUGGGCGCAAGCCUGAUGCAGCCAUGCCGCGUGUAUGAAGAAGGCCUUCGGGUUGUAAAGUACUUUCAGCGGGGAGGAAGGGAGUAAAGUUAAUACCUUUGCUCAUUGACGUUACCCGCAGAAGAAGCACCGGCUAACUCCGUG